RNAcentral lists this ribosomal RNA (497 nucleotides) under uncultured bacterium. RNAcentral's name for it is "partial 16S ribosomal RNA". It matches the Rfam family "Bacterial small subunit ribosomal RNA", at positions 28 to 507 of the family's 1533-position model. The record is from RNAcentral.
GAUGAACGCUGGCGGCGUGCCUAAUACAUGCAAGUCGAGCGAACGGACGAGAAGCUUGCUUCUCUGAUGUUAGCGGCGGACGGGUGAGUAACACGUGGAUAACCUACCUAUAAGACUGGGAUAACUUCGGGAAACCGGAGCUAAUACCGGAUGAUAUUUUGAACCGCGUGGUUCAAAAGUGAAAGACGGUCUUGCUGUCACUUAUAGAUGGAUCCGCGCUGCAUUAGCUAGUUGGUAAGGUAACGGCUUACCAAGGCAACGAUGCAUAGCCGACCUGAGAGGGUGAUCGGCCACACUGGAACUGAGACACGGUCCAGACUCCUACGGGAGGCAGCAGUAGGGAAUCUUCCGCAAUGGGCGAAAGCCUGACGGAGCAACGCCGCGUGAGUGAUGAAGGUCUUCGGAUCGUAAAACUCUGUUAUUAGGGAAGAACAUAUGUGUAAGUAACUGUGCACAUCUUGACGGUACCUAAUCAGAAAGCCACGGCUAACUACGUG